Molecule: ribosomal RNA, 650 nt
Filed under: uncultured marine bacterium
Lineage: Bacteria
Description: bacterial SSU rRNA
Rfam family: Bacterial small subunit ribosomal RNA
Source: RNAcentral
GCUUGCUAGUUAGGCGACGAGUGGCGGACGGGUGAGUAAUACUUAGGAAUCUGCCUUAUAGCUGGGGAUAACGUGGUGAAAACCACGCUAAUACCGAAUAAGCCCUACGGGGGAAAGCGGGGGAUCUUCGGACCUCGCACUAUUAGAUGAGCCUAAGCCGGAUUAGCUAGUUGGUAGGGUAAUGGCCUACCAAGGCAACGAUCCGUAGCUGGUCUGAGAGGACGACCAGCCACACUGGGACUGAGACACGGCCCAGACUCCUACGGGAGGCAGCAGUCGGGAAUAUUGGACAAUGGGCGCAAGCCUGAUCCAGCAAUGCCGCGUGUGUGAAGAAGGCCUGCGGGUUGUAAAGCACUUUCAAAAGUGAAGAAAAGUAGAGUGUUAAUAGCACUUUGCCUUGACGUUAGCUUUAGAAGAAGCACCGGCUAAUUUAGUGCCAGCAGCCGCGGUAAUACUAAAGGUGCGAGCGUUAAUCGGAAUUACUGGGCGUAAAGCGCGCGCAGGCGGCUUAGUAAGUUGGGUGUGAAAUCCCCGGGCUCAACCCGGGAACUGCAUUCAAAACUGCUAGGCUAGAGUGUAAGAGAGGAUUGUGGAAUUCCGGGUGUAGCGGUGAAAUGCGUAGAUAUCCGGAGGAACAUCAGUGGCGAAGG